CAAAACCAACAAGCGGCACAGUAUCCUCUAAAAUCUGGUCCUCCCAAUCAACCCAACCCUCUCCAUCUCCGCUCUUCUUCCCUACUUCAUCAUCCGAUUCCUCCUUCACCAACUCCUCACUUUCUGACGUCGUCUCCAACUCCGUCGAAAUCACCGGCUUCCGCAACAGCUCCGCGUUAUCACUCCGAAUCCCUCCUCCCUCCGAACCGGUCUUCACCGCAGCGCAACGACACAACCGCAAUCCCCCGCAACGUGAGAAG
RNAcentral lists this unclassified non-coding RNA (260 nucleotides) under Hevea brasiliensis (rubber tree). Lineage: Eukaryota; Viridiplantae; Streptophyta; Magnoliopsida; Malpighiales; Euphorbiaceae. The record is from RNAcentral.